This 410-nucleotide ribosomal RNA is filed under the name uncultured Arcobacter sp. RNAcentral's name for it is "bacterial SSU rRNA". It matches the Rfam family "Bacterial small subunit ribosomal RNA", at positions 113 to 541 of the family's 1533-position model. The record is from RNAcentral. Lineage: Bacteria; Pseudomonadati; Campylobacterota; Epsilonproteobacteria; Campylobacterales; Arcobacteraceae.
AUAUAUUGGGUAACGUGCCCUAGAGAAGAGGAUAACAUUUGGAAACGAAUGCUAAUACUCUAUAUGCCUUUAAGUCAUAAUACUGCAAGGGAAAUAUUUAUAUCUCUAGGAUCGGCCUGUACGGAAUCAGCUUGUUGGUGAGGUAAUGGCUCACCAAGGCAAUGACACCUAACUGGUUUGAGAGGAUGAUCAGUCACUCUGGAACUGAGACACGGUCCAGACUCCUACGGGAGGCAGCAGUGGGGAAUUUUGCACAAUGGACGAAAGUCUGAUGCAGCAACUCCGCGUGGAGGAUGACACAUUUCGGUGCGUAAACUCCUUUUAUAUAGGAAGAUAAUGACGGUACUAUAUGUAUAAUCGCCGGCUUAACUCCUUGCCAGCAGCCGCGUGUAAUACGGAGGGUUCUGCGU